GACGAACCGUACGAACGUUAUUCGGAAUCACUGGGCUUAAAGGGUCCGUAGGCGGCUCGGAAAGUAGGGUGUGAAAUCCCACGGCUCAACCGUGGAAUUGCGCUCUAAACUAUCGAGCUAGAGGGAGAUAGAGGUGAGCGGAACUGAUGGUGGAGCGGUGAAAUGCGUUGAUAUCAUCAGGAACACCGGAGGCGAAGGCGGCUCACUGGGUCUUUUCUGACGCUGAGGGACGAAAGCUAGGGGAGCGAACGGG
This 253-nucleotide ribosomal RNA is filed under the name uncultured bacterium. RNAcentral describes it as "partial 16S ribosomal RNA". It matches the Rfam family "Bacterial small subunit ribosomal RNA", at positions 524 to 776 of the family's 1533-position model. The record is from RNAcentral.